Molecule: long non-coding RNA, 957 nt
Organism: Pyrgilauda ruficollis (rufous-necked snowfinch)
Lineage: Eukaryota; Metazoa; Chordata; Aves; Passeriformes; Passeridae
Exons: 7
Source: RefSeq, a predicted model, not a curated record
UUUGGGGUGUCACCUGCUGUCCCCGUGCCCAAAGCCCAUCUCUGCCCCCAGACGCGGGGCUGGAGGGGGGCGCGGCCCCUCCCCGGAAUUUGGCGGCUGAGAUCCUUCCCGCGGAGCUCAGGGACGCGGUGACGCGGCUGCGGCGCGAGAACCGACGGCUGCGGCUGCAGCGGGACCAGCUCCAGCACAGGCUGGAGGCCGCAGAGGCAGCUGAGCCUCGGACAGCGCAGGGGAGGCCCCAGGAGGAGCUGGUGCUGCUGGAGGAGGCGCCCGAGGACCUGUGAGUUUUUGGGGGGUGGGGGGCAUUUGGGGGGCCCUCCUAGCAUCCCCCACCUGUGACCACCCCCUGCUCCCCCAGGGAUGAGCUGCCGGAGGACGAGGAGGAGGAGGAGGAGGAGGAAGAGCUGGAGCUCUCCAGGGCUGGAUUUCGAGGUUCCACGAGGUCGCCCCCCCAAAAACCCUCAUCGUCCCCCGGGGACCCCCCCGGGACUCCCCCCCUGGCCCCCGUGCUGCAGCUCCUGCGCAGCCAGCUGCAGGAGAAGGACGCGCUGAUCCGGCACCUGGAGAGCGACUGGGAGCGCAGCCGGGCGCAGCGGGAGCGCGAGGAGCGGCUGCUGGUCACCGCCUGGUACAACAUGGGGCUGGCGCUGCAGCAGCACGAGGCCGGCGCGGCGGCACGCGGCGGCGGUGGCAGCGGCGCUCUGUCCUUCCUGGCCCAGCAGCGCCUGGCCACGGCGGCGCGGCGGGCGCGGGCCCCGCACGGCCGGGCUCCCUCCAGCUGAGACCCCCGAGACGCGCCGGGCUGGUCCCGUCUCCACACUACACACCCCGGCUCCUUCCGGGGCUUGCCCCCCGUGCCUUUUGGGGGGUUUUUAGCACUUCUAUUUUUGUAGCUGGUUUCGGGGGUCUGGUGCGUGGCACCCCCGUGAAAUGUUCUAAUAAAGGCUCAGGACUCAG